RNAcentral lists this ribosomal RNA (440 nucleotides) under uncultured bacterium. RNAcentral describes it as "partial 16S ribosomal RNA". It matches the Rfam family "Bacterial small subunit ribosomal RNA", at positions 338 to 795 of the family's 1533-position model. The record is from RNAcentral.
CCUACGGGUGGCAGCAGUGGGGAAUAUUGCACAAUGGGGGAAACCCUGAUGCAGCGACGCCGCGUGAGUGAAGAAGGAUUUCGGGAUGUAAAGCUCUAUCAGCAGGGAAGAAAAUGACGGUACCUGAUGCAGAAGCCCCGGCUAACUACGUGCCAGCAGCCGCGGUAAUACGGAGGGGGCAAGCGUUAUCCGGAUUUACUGGGGGGAAAGGGAGCGUAGACGGCAGCACAAGUCUGGGGGGAAAUGCCGGGGCUUAACCCCGGAACUGCAUUGGAAACUGUGCAGCUAGAGUGCAGGAGAGGUAAGUGGAAUUCCUGGUGUAGCGGUGAAAUGCGUAGAUAUUAGGAGGAACACCCGUGGCGAAGGCGGCUUACUGGACUGUAACUGACGUUGAGGCUCGAAAGCGUGGGGAGCAAACAGGAUUAGAUACCCGGGUAGUC